AGAGUUUGAUCCUGGCUCAGAUUGAACGCUGGCGGCAUGCCUUACACAUGCAAGUCGAACGGCAGCACGGGGCAACCCUGGUGGCGAGUGGCGAACGGGUGAGUAAUGCAUCGGAACGUGCCCGGUAGUGGGGGAUAACUCGGCGAAAGUCGAGCUAAUACCGCAUACGUACCGAGGUAGAAAGCGGGGGACCUGCAACGGCCUCGCGCUAUCGGAGCGGCCGAUGUCGGAUUAGCUUGUUGGUGGGGUAAUGGCCUACCAAGGCGACGAUCCGUAACUGGUCUGAGAGGACGACCAGUCACACUGGGACUGAGACACGGCCCAGACUCCUACGGGAGGCAGCAGUGGGGAAUUUUGGACAAUGGGCGAAAGCCUGAUCCAGCAAUGCCGCGUGUGUGAAGAAGGCCUUCGGGUUGUAAAGCACUUUUGUCCGGAAAGAAAUCCGCCUGGCUAAUACCCGGGCGGGAUGACGGUACCGGAAGAAUAAGCACCGGCUAACUACGUGCCAGCAGCCGCGGUAA
RNAcentral lists this ribosomal RNA (521 nucleotides) under uncultured Burkholderia sp. RNAcentral describes it as "bacterial SSU rRNA". It matches the Rfam family "Bacterial small subunit ribosomal RNA", at positions 8 to 523 of the family's 1533-position model. The record is from RNAcentral. Lineage: Bacteria; Pseudomonadati; Pseudomonadota; Betaproteobacteria; Burkholderiales; Burkholderiaceae.